UACGGGGGGGGCAAGCGUUGUUCGGAAUUACUGGGCGUAAAGGGCCAGUAGGCGGCCAACUAAGUCCGACGUGAAAUCCCAAGGCUUAACCUUGGAACUGCGUCGGAUACUGGAUGGCUUGAAUUCGGGAGAGGGAUGCAGAAUUCCAGGUGUAGCGGUGAAAUGCGUAGAUAUCUGGAAGAACACCAGUGGCGAAGGCGGCUCUCUGGGACGGUACUGACGCUGAGACGCGAAAGCGUGGGGAGCGAACAGG
This 253-nucleotide ribosomal RNA is filed under the name uncultured bacterium. Its description in RNAcentral is "partial 16S ribosomal RNA". It matches the Rfam family "Bacterial small subunit ribosomal RNA", at positions 524 to 776 of the family's 1533-position model. The record is from RNAcentral.